This 423-nucleotide ribosomal RNA is filed under the name uncultured bacterium. RNAcentral describes it as "partial 16S ribosomal RNA". It matches the Rfam family "Bacterial small subunit ribosomal RNA", at positions 359 to 774 of the family's 1533-position model. The record is from RNAcentral.
GAAUCUUCCACAAUGGGCGAAAGCCUGAUGGAGCAAUGCCGCGUGGGUGGAGAAGGAUUUUGGUUCGUAAAACCCUGUUUUAAGGGAAGAACAAGUAACCUAGUAACUGGCGAUACCUUGCCGGUACCUUAUUAGAAAGCCACGGCUACCUACGUUCCACCAGCCGCGGUAAGACGUAUGUGGCAAGCGUUGUCCGGAAUUAUUGGGCGUAAAGCGCGCGCAGGUGGUUCUUUAAGUCUGAUGUGAAAGCCCACGGCUCAACCGUGGAGGGUCAUUGGAAACUGGGGAACUUGAGUGCAGAAGAGGAUAGUGGAAUUCCAAGUGUAGCGGUGAAAUGCGUAGAGAUUUGGAGGAACACCAGUGGCGAAGGCGACUAUCUGGUCUGUAACUGACACUGAGGCGCGAAAGCGUGGGGAGCAAACA